GUGCCAGCUGCCGCGGUAAUACCGGCAGCCCGAGUGAUGGCCGAUCUUAUUGGGCCUAAAGCGUCCGUAGCUGGCUGCGCAAGUCCGUCGGGAAAUCCAGUAGCUCAACUACUGGGCGUCCGGCGGAAACUACAAGGCUUGGGACCGGGAGGCUCGAAGGGUACGUUCGGGGUAGGAGUGAAAUCCUAUAAUCCCGCACGGACCACCGAUGGCGAAAGCACUUCGAGAAAACGGACCCGACAGUGAGGGACGAAAGCUGGGAUCUCGAACCGGAUUAGAAACCCCAGUAGUCC
This 293-nucleotide ribosomal RNA is filed under the name uncultured bacterium. RNAcentral describes it as "partial 16S ribosomal RNA". It matches the Rfam family "Archaeal small subunit ribosomal RNA", at positions 455 to 747 of the family's 1478-position model. The record is from RNAcentral.